This is a long non-coding RNA of Bos taurus (domestic cattle), 488 nucleotides long. NCBI's taxonomy places the organism in Eukaryota, Metazoa, Chordata, Mammalia, Artiodactyla, Bovidae. The record is from Ensembl.
GGCAGAAGGUUCCGAUGGAAGAAAAGAAAAAAGCUGAUGCUUUCUUCAAACUGAUAGGGAUUAUAGGUGGAAGGCAGGUGGGCCCGCGUAGGGAGGCCAAAGAGCUAAUAGAAAGAAUAGUAAGCCCUGCAGAAGUCUCCAAAAGAAAGGCUGCCUAUAUCAGGGCAAGCUCUUUUAAAAAAUUAUUUGGAAAAUAAAAUUUUAUAUUUCAUGAGGUCUGUCUUCAUGAUACAGACCAUUCCUAAAUAUCAGAAAGUCCUGUUGAAUCAACUGAAAGACAUUAUUUGCAUUGAAAUGUGAUCAUGGCUUUGCUAUCACCAUCUUGAUGUUUUACAUCUUUGUGAACUCAGGAAAAUUUUGAGAUGACUAAAGAAUGUGUUUGACAACUAAAAGAAUGUAUACAAAAAUGUCAACAUUUAUCUUUUGGAGACAGAAUUGCAAAUUGCCGGGAACCAGCCCCAGCUGAUCCAGGGUAUUCGAAGGAGAGA